GACGAACGCUGGCGGCGUGCUUAACACAUGCAAGUCGAACGGAAAGGCCCUGCUUGCAGGGUACUCGAGUGGCGAACGGGUGAGUAACACGUGGGUGAUCUGUCCUGCACUUCGGGAUAAGCCUGGGAAACUGGGUCUAAUACCGGAUAGGAGCCUUUUUUAGUGUGAUGGUUGGAAAGUUUUUUCGGUGUAGGAUGAGCUCGCGGCCUAUCAGCUUGUUAGUGGGGUAAUGGCCUACCAAGGCGGCGACGGGUAGCCGGCCUGAGAGGGUGGACGGCCACAGUGGGACUGAGAGACGGCGCAGACGCCUACGGGAGGCAGCAGUGGGGAGUAUUGCACAAUGGGCACGAGCCUGAUGCGGAGGCGCCGCGAGGGGGAUGACGGGCUUCGGGUUAAAAACUCCUUUCGCUAGGGACAGAGCUUUUUGUGACGGUACCUAAAUAAGAAGCGCCGGCUAACUACGUG
RNAcentral lists this ribosomal RNA (465 nucleotides) under uncultured bacterium. Its description in RNAcentral is "partial 16S ribosomal RNA". It matches the Rfam family "Bacterial small subunit ribosomal RNA", at positions 28 to 507 of the family's 1533-position model. The record is from RNAcentral.